This 486-nucleotide ribosomal RNA is filed under the name uncultured beta proteobacterium. RNAcentral's name for it is "bacterial SSU rRNA". It matches the Rfam family "Bacterial small subunit ribosomal RNA", at positions 30 to 509 of the family's 1533-position model. The record is from RNAcentral. Lineage: Bacteria; Pseudomonadati; Pseudomonadota; Betaproteobacteria.
AUUGAACGCUGGCGGAAUGCUUUACACAUGCAAGUCGAACGGCAGCACGGGGGCAACCCUGGUGGCGAGUGGCGAACGGGUGAGUAAUACAUCGGAACGUGCCCAGUCGUGGGGGAUAACGUAGCGAAAGUUACGCUAAUACCGCAUACGAUCUACGGAUGAAAGCGGGGGAUCGCAAGACCUCGCGCGAUUGGAGCGGCCGAUGUCAGAUUAGGUAGUUGGUGGGGUAAAGGCUCACCAAGCCAACGAUCUGUAGCUGGUCUGAGAGGACGACCAGCCACACUGGGACUGAGACACGGCCCAGACUCCUACGGGAGGCAGCAGUGGGGAAUUUUGGACAAUGGACGAAAGUCUGAUCCAGCCAUUCCGCGUGCAGGACGAAGGCCUUCGGGUUGUAAACUGCUUUUGUACGGAACGAAAAAGCCUUGGCUAAUACCCAGGGUCCAUGACGGUACCGUAAGAAUAAGCACCGGCUAACUACGUGCC